Molecule: ribosomal RNA, 252 nt
Filed under: uncultured bacterium
Lineage: Bacteria
Description: partial 16S ribosomal RNA
Rfam family: Bacterial small subunit ribosomal RNA
Source: RNAcentral
UACGAAGGGGCUAGCGUUGUUCGGAAUUACUGGGCGUAAAGCGCGCGCAGGCGGCUAUCCAAGUCAGUGGUGAAAGCCCGGAGCUCAACUCCGGAACUGCCAUUGAAACUGUUUAGCUUGAGGACGAGAGAGGUGAGUGGAAUUCCCAGUGUAGAGGUGAAAUUCGUAGAUAUUGGGAAGAACACCGGUGGCGAAGGCGGCUCACUGGACCACAACUGACGCUGAGGCGCGAAAGCUAGGGGAGCAACAGGG